UUGCUGCUGAUAGCAUUUGUGAGUUACUUUGGAGCAAAGCUUCAUAGACCAAGAAUAAUUGCCUUGGGCUGCACAGUUCUGUCAUUUGGCUGUCUUUUAAUAUCACUUCCACAUUUCCUAAUGGGACAGUACCAUAUUGAAAGUAGCAUUUCACCAUCUGAGAAUUCUUCAG
Nothoprocta perdicaria is the source of this 172-nucleotide long non-coding RNA. RefSeq lists it as uncharacterized. The record is from RefSeq and is a predicted model, not a curated record. The transcript has 2 exons. Lineage: Eukaryota; Metazoa; Chordata; Aves; Tinamiformes; Tinamidae.